RNAcentral lists this ribosomal RNA (465 nucleotides) under Vreelandella stevensii. Its description in RNAcentral is "partial 16S ribosomal RNA". It matches the Rfam family "Bacterial small subunit ribosomal RNA", at positions 338 to 795 of the family's 1533-position model. The record is from RNAcentral. Lineage: Bacteria; Pseudomonadati; Pseudomonadota; Gammaproteobacteria; Oceanospirillales; Halomonadaceae.
CCUACGGGUGGCAGCAGUGGGGAAUAUUGGACAAUGGGCGAAAGCCUGAUCCAGCCAUGCCGCGUGUGUGAAGAAGGCCUUCGGGUUGUAAAGCACUUUCAGUGGGGAAGAAAGCCUUGGGGCUAAUACCCUCGAGGAAGGACAUCACCCACAGAAGAAGCACCGGCUAACUCCGUGCCAGCAGCCGCGGUAAUACGGAGGGUGCGAGCGUUAAUCGGAAUUACUGGGCGUAAAGCGCGCGUAGGCGGUCUGAUAAGCCGGUUGUGAAAGCCCCGGGCUCAACCUGGGAACGGCAUCCGGAACUGUCAGGCUAGAGUGCAGGAGAGGAAGGUAGAAUUCCCGGUGUAGCGGUGAAAUGCGUAGAGAUCGGGAGGAAUACCAGCGGCGAAGGCGGCCUUCUGGACUGACACUGACGCUGAGGUGCGAAAGCGUGGGUAGCAAACAGGAUUAGAUACCCUAGUAGUC